UACACUCCUGCGGGAGGCAGCAGUGGGGAAUAUUGGACAAUGGGCGCAAGCCUGAUCCAGCCAUGCCGCGUGAGUGAUGAAGGCCCUAGGGUUGUAAAGCUCUUUCACCGGUGAAGAUAAUGACGGUAACCGGAGAAGAAGCCCCGGCUAACUUCGUGCCAGCAGCCGCGGUAAUACGAAGGGGGCUAGCGUUGUUCGGAUUUACUGGGCGUAAAGCGCACGUAGGCGGACUAUUAAGUCAGGGGUGAAAUCCCGGGGCUCAACCCCGGAACUGCCUUUGAUACUGGUAGUCUUGAGUUCGAGAGAGGUGAGUGGAAUUCCGAGUGUAGAGGUGAAAUUCGUAGAUAUUCGGAGGAACACCAGUGGCGAAGGCGGCUCACUGGCUCGAUACUGACGCUGAGGUGCGAAAGCGUGGGGAGCAAACAGGAUUAGAAACCCUUGUAGUCCCA
Molecule: ribosomal RNA, 449 nt
Filed under: uncultured organism
Description: partial 16S ribosomal RNA
Rfam family: Bacterial small subunit ribosomal RNA
Source: RNAcentral